This is a long non-coding RNA of Cydia amplana, 346 nucleotides long. RefSeq lists it as uncharacterized. NCBI's taxonomy places the organism in Eukaryota, Metazoa, Arthropoda, Insecta, Lepidoptera, Tortricidae. The transcript has 3 exons. The record is from RefSeq and is a predicted model, not a curated record.
ACCCGACCUGCUGUCCGACAUAUUGGAGAGCCAGACGCUACUGCACUCCAAGCGUUCUGUGGUGUCCGUCACGGUGGAUGGCCAGUUCAGCGUCAAACUGCGCGGCGAAGGCAGAGUGGAUGUUAGCAAGGCGUCCGACCCGCCGGUGCGUUCUGCGCCCGCGCACGGGCAGCGCGGCGGUUGGGGCGGCGGCUACAGCGGCAACUACCAUCGCGAGCAGAGCGCUAAUAACUUUGGUCGGGGGUACUCGUACGGCCCCAACGGCGGCGAGAGCAAUUAUCCAAACCGCGGGAACUACGGCGGCGCGCGGCGGGAGGAGGAGUGGGGCGGGGCCCCGCGCCGCGGC